Molecule: long non-coding RNA, 342 nt
Filed under: Cricetulus griseus (Chinese hamster)
Lineage: Eukaryota; Metazoa; Chordata; Mammalia; Rodentia; Cricetidae
Description: lncRNA (ENSCGRG00000025802.1)
Source: RNAcentral
ACAUUGCCUGUAGUGAGGUCCUCUUGCAGCGUUUCAUCAUCUUCAGCCAGCACUGGGGGGCACAGACCGUGCGUGACACCCUGUGUCCCCUCUCCCAGGUCACCCUACAGUGGAUAGAAGACACUCUGUAUGCCAACGUGGACUUCUUCAAACUCUUCCGUGUGCUCCCCACACUCCUAGACAGCAGUUCUCAAGGUAUCAACUUGAGAUUUUGGGGAGGAAUAUUAUCUGAUAUGUCACCAAGAAUACAAAAGGUAAGAAGCCGAAUGCCAUUAACUAUAGUUUUAUGAUACCUUUACACUGUUUCAAUCACACUUAUUAUAGAAAAUAAUUUAAUUGUAC